GAGGUUAAGCGACUAAGCGUACACGGUGGAUGCCCUGGCAGUCAGAGGCGAUGAAGGGCGUGCUAAUCUGCGAUAAGCGCCGGUAAGGUGAUAUGAACCGUUAUAACCGGCGAUACCCGAAUGGGGAAACCCAGUGUGACUCGUCACACUAUCAUUAACUGAAUCCAUAGGUUAAUGAGGCGAACCGGGGGAACUGAAACAUCUAAGUACCCCGAGGAAAAGAAAUCAACCGAGAUUCCCCCAGUAGCGGCGAGCGAACGGGGAGGAGCCCAGAGCCUGAAUCAGCAUGUGUGUUAGUGGAAGCGUCUGGAAAGGCGCGCGAUACAGGGUGACAGCCCCGUACACAAAAGCGCAUGUGCUGUGAGCUCGAUGAGUAGGGCGGGACACGUGGUAUCCUGUCUGAAUAUGGGGGGACCAUCCUCCAAGGCUAAAUACUCCUGACUGACCGAUAGUGAACCAGUACCGUGAGGGAAAGGCGAAAAGAACCCCGGCGAGGGGAGUGAAAAAGAACCUGAAACCGUGU
RNAcentral lists this ribosomal RNA (523 nucleotides) under Salmonella enterica. Its description in RNAcentral is "partial 23S ribosomal RNA". It matches the Rfam family "Bacterial large subunit ribosomal RNA", at positions 1 to 561 of the family's 2925-position model. Lineage: Bacteria; Pseudomonadati; Pseudomonadota; Gammaproteobacteria; Enterobacterales; Enterobacteriaceae. The record is from RNAcentral. RNAcentral also lists the same sequence under 3 other names.